RNAcentral lists this transfer RNA (77 nucleotides) under Puniceicoccales bacterium. Its description in RNAcentral is "tRNA-Pro". It matches the Rfam family "tRNA". Rfam says of the family: Transfer RNA (tRNA) molecules are approximately 80 nucleotides in length. Lineage: Bacteria; Pseudomonadati; Verrucomicrobiota; Opitutia; Puniceicoccales. The record is from RNAcentral.
CGGGGUGUAGCUUAGUCUGGUAGAGCGCUAUCUUAGGGAGGUAGAGGUCGCUGGUUCGAAUCCAGUCACUCCGACCA